GACGAACGCUGGCGGCGUGCCUAAUACAUGCAAGUAGAACGCUGAAGAGAGGAGCUUGCUCUUCUUGGAUGAGUUGCGAACGGGUGAGUAACGCGUAGGUAACCUGCCUUGUAGCGGGGGAUAACUAUUGGAAACGAUAGCUAAUACCGCAUAACAAUGGAUGACACAUGUCAUUUAUUUGAAAGGGGCAAUUGCUCCACUACAAGAUGGACCUGCGUUGUAUUAGCUAGUAGGUGAGGUAACGGCUCACCUAGGCGACGAUACAUAGCCGACCUGAGAGGGUGAUCGGCCACACUGGGACUGAGACACGGCCCAGACUCCUACGGGAGGCAGCCGUAGGGAAGCUUCGGCAAUGGGGGCAACCCUGACCGAGCAACGCCGCGUGAGUGAAGAAGGUUUUCGGAUCGUAAAGCUCUGUUGUAAGUCAAGAACGAGUGUGAGAGUGGAAAGUUCACACUGUGACGGUAGCUUAACAGAAAGGGACGGCUAACUACGUG
This 497-nucleotide ribosomal RNA is filed under the name uncultured bacterium. Its description in RNAcentral is "partial 16S ribosomal RNA". It matches the Rfam family "Bacterial small subunit ribosomal RNA", at positions 28 to 507 of the family's 1533-position model. The record is from RNAcentral.